Molecule: ribosomal RNA, 315 nt
Filed under: Triticum aestivum (bread wheat)
Lineage: Eukaryota; Viridiplantae; Streptophyta; Magnoliopsida; Poales; Poaceae
Description: partial small subunit ribosomal RNA
Source: RNAcentral
AUGAGUGCUCUAUCAGACAAGAUUGUUCUUCUGGUGACUCACCAAGUGGAUUUUCUACCUGUAUUUGACUCCAUUUUGUUAAUGUCAGAUGGAGAGGUUAUUCAGUCUGCACCUUAUCAAGAUCUAUUGGCAGAUUGUGAAGAAUUUAAAGACCUUGUACAUGCCCAUAAAGAUACUAUGGGUGUUUCGCAUCGUAAGAAUAACAUACCCCAUCAAAGAUCUAAGGAAGUAUCAAUAAAGGAGACAGAUGGUAUUCAUGGAAGUAGAUAUACAGAGUCUAUGAAACCAUCACUAGCAGAUCAACUGAUCAAGUAA